GACGAACGCUGGCGGCGUGCUUAACACAUGCAAGUCGAACGGAAAGGCCCUGCUUUUGUGGGGUGCUCGAGUGGCGAACGGGUGAGUAACACGUGAGUAACCUGCCCUUGACUUUGGGAUAACUUCAGGAAACUGGGGCUAAUAACGGAUAGGAGCUCCUGCUGCAUGGUGGGGGUUGGAAAGUUUCGGCGGUUGGGGAUGGACUCGCGGGUUAUCAGCUUGUUGGUGGGGUAGUGGCUUACCAAGGCUUUGACGGGUAGCCGGCCUGAGAGGGUGACCGGCCCCAUUGGGACUGAGAUACGGACCAAACUCCUACGGGAGGCAGCAGUGGGGAAUAUUGCACAAUGGGCGGAAGCCUGAUGCAGCAACGCCGCGUGCGGGAUGACGGCCUUCGGGUUGUAAACCGCUUUCGCCUGUGACGAAGCGUGAGUGACGGUAAUGGGUAAAGAAGCACCGGCUAACUACGUG
This 468-nucleotide ribosomal RNA is filed under the name uncultured bacterium. RNAcentral describes it as "partial 16S ribosomal RNA". It matches the Rfam family "Bacterial small subunit ribosomal RNA", at positions 28 to 507 of the family's 1533-position model. The record is from RNAcentral.